Long non-coding RNA from Homo sapiens (human), 1939 nucleotides. The record is from Ensembl. NCBI's taxonomy places the organism in Eukaryota, Metazoa, Chordata, Mammalia, Primates, Hominidae.
AUAGGUGAAUAUUUCGCUGGGAUUUUAAAGAGACGAGCUUCAGCCUGCUAAGCCGCGCUCACGCCGCCUCUCCGCCCUGGCCUCCCCGCGUCCGGCUUGGGGCCGGGUCCCUCCCGGGUCAAAGCUACGCCGGGUGCACUGCGGGCUGGGCAGCUCUCCCACUACGCCCAAAGCCCAGGCGGCCGGGACCGCCGUCCCAAAGUCACAAACCACACCCGUGAAGGACGCCCUCCGCAAGACAGAGAGGAGGCUGGGCCUGGGAAGGAACCUCCGGCCCUUCCUCACCAUGCAGCCAAGCCCUGCUUUCUCUACCUCCAGUCGUUUUCUGAGGACCGGCUUGGUGGGUGCUGAUGCCUGCCUGGAAGACCUCACACCCACAGUGUCUUAGAAGAUUCUGAAAGCAGUGUGAGGUACCAGCCUGCUUUAGCGCUAGGAGCUGGCAUGGUGGGGGUCUCAGGCUGCAUCCGCACAUUCUCAGCGGUGCUUUUGCUCCUGGAAUGGAGCCACAAGCUGCUCUGGGCCAUUUAGAGACUCUAAGUGGUUUGCUCAGGGCUAUAUGGAAGUGGGAGGUGGGGGACCUGGGCGCUCUGUAGCAUGCUUAGUCCCCCUGGCAGGGUUAGAGGUUAGUUGACCAGAGACAACGAGUCCAAUUCCCAAACAGACCAGAAUGACCAGCAAAGGAGAAAAGAACAAGGACACAUUGCAGCCAAAAUGGAGCUAGAAUCUUGCCUCUGUCCAUCCUUCACUGGAGUUAUCCUGGAUGGAGAAGGAACCAUAUCACCUGCAAAGCCUGGAAGGGGAGCCCUGCUGUGAGGUGAGCCAGUAAGUCUGUGAGUUCAGGAGGGAGCACACGCUUGUCUGUCCAUCUGUUCAUGAGCAGGCGCUCUUGAGUCUUCCUAAAUAUUGCCCAGAGCUCUCCAUCCAGAUACUGUCCUUUCCCUUCCUCUCCAUUGAUGGUCUCCAAGCCUUUCUUAGCUUUCAUCUUCCCCUAAGGAUUCCUUCUCCCAAAGCUCCAGCCCAUUCCAAUGUCAACUGCAUUCGUUGUUUUUGUUACUCUCAUUGUGUCAAAUGGGUUCUUUCCUAUGCAACUAGAUUGUAGGUUGCUCCAAGGUAAACACCGUGAUUUCUAGUUCCUUUGUUUCUACCACUGCAGGACUGUAGGAAGCCCAGUUGUAGGCAUCACUAGGACUCAGUAAUUACAUAAUUGCUCAGAUAAUUGAGAGAAUGAUUGAUUGAUUAGUGGUCAUUAAUGCCAUAAAAUGAAGGAAUUUCGCCCCUCACAUUUUCAAGAACCUAUGAGUUCGAAGAGACCUGAAAGAACAUUUUUAUGGGAGCCUACACCAGUGCUAUCACCUAAAGUGCGUGACCUUAGGGAAGUUGCUUCACCCCUUGUUUCUGUGCCUCCAAAAUACUGGUGUUAAUACAGUAAUUUCUGAUUCCUUCCACCUGUGCCCUGCUCAGCGAUCCAGUGUUCAAGCUGGUCAUCAGGAGAAAGCUACUUAUGAUUUCCUAACAAGCCACCACAGAACAUCACAUUCCCAAACAUGCUCUUCACCGUCCCUGCUGUCCCCACGUGCCUAGCCCUGGUGUGGGCAGGAAUGAGUGGGAUUGGGAUGUUUUCUCACAGGUCUUUCUCAGGUGAGGCCCCAGGCUGUGACCAGGCCCCUGCCCUGCAUGUGACUCAGGCCUAGCCCCUGCUGGGGCAGGAAUGCCACCCAGCACAGCAUCCUACUGGUGCCUGAAUAAAGAAUGGACUGGAGGUUCACCUGAAAGGGGCUGCCAGGUUUCUGCGGGGGCCAGCCAACGGCUCACAAUGACCCUGUGUUCGACUCAUCUUACGAUGAAAUUUUUCAGCUUGACGAACUUUUACUCAUCUUUCAAGGCUCGGCUCAAAUGUUAUUUCCCUGGGAAAACUGCGCUACUUUCAGCAAAAUGCAUU